This 207-nucleotide long non-coding RNA is filed under the name Durio zibethinus. Its description in RNAcentral is "long non-coding RNA (DZIB_LNC001202)". Lineage: Eukaryota; Viridiplantae; Streptophyta; Magnoliopsida; Malvales; Malvaceae. The record is from RNAcentral.
AUUGACCAAUUCAAAAGAUCGAUAGGAGCAUUUCAAUGCUUCUUCAGCAGCCUCUACAUAUGGAGUGUUCAAUGGUUGAGUCACCAGCAUGUCUUCCUCUCCAACUACUACUAUCAAUUGACCUUCUACAUUGAACUUGAUCUUUUGAUGUAAAGUAGAGGGCACAGCUCCUGCCAUGUGAAUCCAUGGUCUUUCUAAUAAACAGCU